RNAcentral lists this ribosomal RNA (225 nucleotides) under Clostridioides difficile. Its description in RNAcentral is "partial 23S ribosomal RNA". It matches the Rfam family "Bacterial large subunit ribosomal RNA", at positions 2620 to 2847 of the family's 2925-position model. Lineage: Bacteria; Bacillati; Bacillota; Clostridia; Peptostreptococcales; Peptostreptococcaceae. The record is from RNAcentral.
CGUGAGACAGUUCGGUCCCUAUCCGUCGCAGGCGUAGGAAAUUUGAGAAGACCUGUCCUUAGUACGAGAGGACCGGGAUGGACGUACCUCUGGUGUACCAGUUGUUCUGCCAAGGGCAUGGCUGGGUAGCUAUGUACGGAAUGGAUAAGCGCUGAAAGCAUCUAAGCGCGAAGCCAACUUCAAGAUAAGAUUUCCCACCGCAAGGGUAAGACCCCAGAAAGACUA